GCCUUCGUGGUGUAGUGGUCAGCACACUGAGCCGGUAUUUCAGAGGUCCGCGGUUCGAUCCCCGGCGAAGGCA
Stegodyphus mimosarum is the source of this 73-nucleotide non-coding RNA. The record is from Rfam. NCBI's taxonomy places the organism in Eukaryota, Metazoa, Arthropoda, Arachnida, Araneae, Eresidae.